This is a non-coding RNA of Drosophila pseudoobscura, 75 nucleotides long. The record is from Rfam. Lineage: Eukaryota; Metazoa; Arthropoda; Insecta; Diptera; Drosophilidae.
AUACCUUCAAGCUGGGGGAUGGGCAAUACUGUGUUGUAUUUCACCAGUAUUGCACACCCACUGGCCUGAAAGUGC